RNAcentral lists this transfer RNA (68 nucleotides) under Lasioglossum xanthopus. Its description in RNAcentral is "tRNA-Asp". Lineage: Eukaryota; Metazoa; Arthropoda; Insecta; Hymenoptera; Halictidae. The record is from RNAcentral.
AAAGAAUUAGUUAAAAUAUAUAACAUUAAAUUGUCGUUUUAAAAUUAUUAAAAUACUAAUACUCUUUC